GAUGAACGCUGGCGGCGUGCCUAAUACAUGCAAGUCGAGCGAACGGACGAGAAGCUUGCUUCUCUCAUGUUAGCGGCGGACGGGUGAGUAACACGUGUAUAACCUCCCUAUCAGACUGGGAUAACUUCGGGAAACCGGCGCUAAUACCGUAUAAUAUUUUGAACCGCAUGGUUCAAAAGUGAAAGACGGUCUUGCUGUCACUUCUAGCUGGAUCCGCGCUGCAUUAGCUAGUUGGUAAGGUAACGGCCUACCAAGGCAACGAUGCAUAGCCGACCUGAGAGAGUGAUCGGCCACACUGGAACUGAGACACGGUCCAGACUACUAAGAGAGGCAGCAGUAGGGAAUCUUACGCAAUGGGCGAAAGCAUGACGGAGCAACGCCGCGUGAGUGAUGAAGGUCUUCGGAGCGUAAAGCUCUGUUAUUAGGGAAGAACAGAUGUGGAAGUAACUGUGCAGAGCUUGACGGUACCGAAUCAGAAAGCCACGGCUAACUACGUG
This 497-nucleotide ribosomal RNA is filed under the name uncultured bacterium. Its description in RNAcentral is "partial 16S ribosomal RNA". It matches the Rfam family "Bacterial small subunit ribosomal RNA", at positions 28 to 507 of the family's 1533-position model. The record is from RNAcentral.